UUGGCCUUGACAUACUAAGAACUUUCCAGAGAUGGAUUGGUGCCUUCGGGAACUUAGAUACAGGUGCUGCAUGGCUGUCGUCAGCUCGUGUCGUGAGAUGUUGGGUUAAGUCCGCAACGAGCGCAACCCUUUUCCUUAUUUGCCAGCGGGUAAUGCCGGGAACUUUAAGGAUACUGCCAGUGACAAACUGGAGGAAGGCGGGGACGACGUCAAGUCAUCAUGGCCCUUACGGCCAGGGCUACACACGUGCUACAAUGGUCGGUACAAAGGGUUGCUACCUCGCGAGAGGAUGCUAAUCUCAAAAAGCCGAUCGUAGUCCGGAUCGCAGUCUGCAACUCGACUGCGUGAAGUCGGAAUCGCUAGUAAUCGCGGAUCAGAAUGCCGCGGUGAAUACGUUCCCGGGCCUUGUACACACCGCCCGUCACACCAUGGGAGUUUGUUGCACCAGAAGUAGGUAGUCUAACCGCAAGGAGGACGCUUACCACGGUGUGGCCGAUGACUGGGGUGAAGUCGUAACAAGGUAAGCGUAGAUGA
This 534-nucleotide ribosomal RNA is filed under the name uncultured bacterium. Its description in RNAcentral is "bacterial SSU rRNA". It matches the Rfam family "Bacterial small subunit ribosomal RNA", at positions 975 to 1509 of the family's 1533-position model. The record is from RNAcentral.